Long non-coding RNA from Tripterygium wilfordii, 1058 nucleotides. RefSeq lists it as uncharacterized. The record is from RefSeq and is a predicted model, not a curated record. The transcript has 4 exons. Lineage: Eukaryota; Viridiplantae; Streptophyta; Magnoliopsida; Celastrales; Celastraceae.
GACGAAGAAUACUGUAUAUAUAUAUUUCUCUAGAGAGAGAGGGAGAGAGAGGAACAAGUCAUCUUGCUCAGACUAAAGUGCUUUUGGUUGUGAACUUGAUACCUUUCUUCCUUGAUCAUCGAUCAUCCCUGAAUGCAAAACAGUGAAGCGAUCGUUCCGUUUUGUGUAAUUUCAUUGCAUUGUUGGCUGAAUUAUACGGUUUUCUAAUGUGCAUCUUCCUCACUGGUGUGGAUGGAAUACUGUGAUUUCCUGAAUUUACUAUUUGCAAUUGGCGUUUGGUGCACUGCGUAUAUCACUGUUGCCAUUCUUGAAUCUUUUCGAGCCAUUGUCUUCCUCUGUCAUUUCUGAUCCAGAAAAGCAAUUUCAGAAAGAUAUCAUGUGCUAUGCACAUCUAGUCAUUGGCCCUGCCGGCAGUGGAAAGAUGGAUGAGUAUAGCAUGGUGAACUUUAUCCCACUUGACUUGAGGAAGGAGAACAGCAUACAGUAUGUAUUGACAUAAAUUGACAACUGCAUCCAGUUUGAAGAUGAUGUGGAUGUGAAAGUUGAGGAUUUUGAUCCCAAUAAUAGUAUGAUUAGUUUGAUCCCUUGGACAGGUUGCUGCAAAUUUUAGAGUUGCGCUGGUGAUUUGGAGGUCGAUGAAUCGUGGAAGCGCCUGUCAUGUAUUAGAUAUGUCAUCUUGUGUUGUGUGAGUUGCACACUCUGACUGUGCUACGGCAUGGCUUUACAACAUGUUGAGGUUCUGUUCAGGUGACUGAUAUAGCCUUUUUUCUACAUGAUGAAAUUUAGCUCCGUGUAAUAUAGCAGUGGGCAAUGUUCAAUAUCACCUUGCAUUAUCUUCCCGCAUUGGGCUUUGGCCCAGUUCUCAACUAGUCCAUGGGGGUGACGGGGUCUUUCAUGUAAUUCGAGAUUUACCAAUUAAUUGUCCAAUAAGCAGUUGGGUGAGUUCCACAUUACCAAAAAAAAGAGAGUAUAGGUCAUGAAGAUUAACUUGUUUGAAAGCCAUCAAGAUUUACUAGCUUUGAUUGUUGAUCUAAUAAAAUUUCAACGUUUGCCUGUUA